UAGGGAAUCUUCCGCAAUGGACGCAAGUCUGACGGAGCAACGCCGCGUGAGUGAAGAAGGUUUUCGGAUCGUAAAACUCUGUUGUAAGAGAAGAACAAAUUGUAGAGUAACUGCUACAGUCUUGACGGUAUCUUACCAGAAAGCCACGGCUAACUACGUGCCAGCAGCCGCGGUAAUACGUAGGUGGCAAGCGUUGUCCGGAUUGAUUGGGCGUAAAGGGGGCGCAGGCUGCUUCUUAAGUCUGAUGUGAAAGCCCACGGCUUAACCGUGGAAGUGCAUUGUAAACUGGGAAGCUUGAGUACUGAAGAGGAAAGUGGAACUCCAUGUGUAUCGGUGGAAUGCCUAGAUCUAUGGAAGAACACCAGUGGCAAAAGCGACCUUCUUGUCUGUCACUGACGCUGAGGCCCGACAGCGUGGGUAGCAAACAGG
Molecule: ribosomal RNA, 429 nt
Filed under: Verrucomicrobiota bacterium
Lineage: Bacteria; Pseudomonadati; Verrucomicrobiota
Description: Verrucomicrobia bacterium partial 16S ribosomal RNA
Rfam family: Bacterial small subunit ribosomal RNA
Source: RNAcentral